This 1005-nucleotide ribosomal RNA is filed under the name Triticum aestivum (bread wheat). RNAcentral describes it as "partial small subunit ribosomal RNA". The record is from RNAcentral. Lineage: Eukaryota; Viridiplantae; Streptophyta; Magnoliopsida; Poales; Poaceae.
AUGAACCAAGAUCAAAUGAGUGAACCUCAUUUCACGCAACAAGAUUGGCCAACAUUGAGCCUGACUCCAAACAACCAAAAUGAAGGUUUUGAAGAGGAGAAUGAUGAGUACGAGGAGGAUGACAAUGAAGUUGAUCUCCAUGACAACAAUGUGGGUGAUCUCGACCAAUAUCAUGUGAAAGAGAUAAUGGACCAAUCCAUCCCUUUUUCCCGUGCAUAUGCAUCGGACUCGGAUGACGAUGGUCCCGAUGAAGAAGUUGAUGAGGAGGGGUUCACACCGAAGGAGGCCCAAGCAUUCAAGAAGGUAUUCGGGCGGGAUCACAAGACACCAUUGUUCAAGGAUCUUAGUCUCGCGGAUGAAGCCGUUGUUGAUGGUGGCAAAUGCAUAUCUCUUGGAGCUAGGCCAAGUUCUCACCAUGAUUUGGAAGACGGCAAGAACGGGAUAUAUCCCGGUUGUGAGUUUCAAUCCUUCUUGGAAUUGAAGAUGUGGCUCAACAACUACUCGGUUACGCAUUAUCGUCCACAUAAAGUGGCCAACUCGGACGUCAAUGUGCGUUACACGGUCAAAUGUGAAGUGCCAAGUUGUCCAUGGAUUGUGCGUGCAAGGCCAUGGAAAGGAGGUCCCACUUGGCGCAUAGUGAGUUGUCUACCAAAUCACAUGUGCCGGCACAAGAAUGCGGAUGGCAAGCUUGUGUACCAACAACACAGACAACUCACGUCCGAGUUCAUCGCUUAUAGGCUUUCCAACCAAAUAUCCACACUUCCAACAAUGAGCAUCAAGAGUGUCAUUGACCUUGUGAAAGCCAUCUUUCAUUACAAGGUGAAGUACGGCAAGGCAUGGAAGGCAAAGCAAGCCGCAUUCAAGAUGUUGUAUGGCAAUUGGGAGGAAGCAUACAACCGACUCCCUAGGUUGUUGUUAGCUAUGGCCACUACAAACCCAGGCAUGGUUCACGUGGUUGAGCCUCAUGGGCACCAAACAUUGAUUCACAACGGGAGGACCGCCUGA